This 479-nucleotide ribosomal RNA is filed under the name uncultured bacterium. Its description in RNAcentral is "bacterial SSU rRNA". It matches the Rfam family "Bacterial small subunit ribosomal RNA", at positions 364 to 833 of the family's 1533-position model. The record is from RNAcentral.
UUUCGCAAUGCCCGAAAGGGUGACGAAGCGACGCCGCGUGGGUGAGGAAGGCCCUCGGGUUGUAAAGCCCUGUCAGGAGUUAAGAAAUGUAAGUGCGCUAAUAUCGCAUUUAUUUGACAAAGGCUCCAAAGGAAGCCACGGCUAACUCUGUGCCAGCGGCCGCGGUAAUACAGAGGUGGCAAGCGUUGUUCGGAAUUAUUGGGCGUAAAGAGCACGUAGGUGGGUUUGUAAGUCAGAUGUGAAAGCCUUCUGUUCAAAGGAAGAACGGCAUCUGAAACUACAGAUCUUGAGUGUAGGAGGGGAGAGUGGAACUUCUGGUGGAGUGGUGAAAUGCGUAGAUAUCAGAAGGAACGUCGGCGGCGAAAGCGACUCUCUGGCCUAUUACUGACACUGAGUGUGCGAAAGUUAGGGGAGCAAACGGGAUUAGAUACCCCGGUAGUCCUAACCGUAAACGAUGGGCACUAAGUAGAGGGGUUUUA